GGCUCCAUAGUGUAGUGGUUAGCAUAUCUACUUUACACACAGAAAGUCUUGGGUUUGUGCCCAGGUGGAGCCC
Pteropus alecto (black flying fox) is the source of this 73-nucleotide non-coding RNA. The record is from Rfam. Lineage: Eukaryota; Metazoa; Chordata; Mammalia; Chiroptera; Pteropodidae.